This 746-nucleotide ribosomal RNA is filed under the name uncultured Bacilli bacterium. RNAcentral's name for it is "bacterial SSU rRNA". It matches the Rfam family "Bacterial small subunit ribosomal RNA", at positions 27 to 742 of the family's 1533-position model. Lineage: Bacteria; Bacillati; Bacillota; Bacilli. The record is from RNAcentral.
GGACGAACGCUGGCGGCGUGCCUAAUACAUGCAAGUCGAACGAAACUUUCUUACACCGAAUGCUUGCAUUCACCGUAAGAAGUUGAGUGGCGGACGGGUGAGUAACACGUGGGUAACCUGCCUAAAAGAAGGGGAUAACACUUGGAAACAGGUGCUAAUACCGUAUAUCUCUAAGGAUCGCAUGAUCCUUAGAUGAAAGAUGGUUCUGCUAUCGCUUUUAGAUGGACCCGCGGCGUAUUAACUAGUUGGUGGGGUAACGGCCUACCAAGGUGAUGAUACGUAGCCGAACUGAGAGGUUGAUCGGCCACAUUGGGACUGAGAUACGGCCCAAACUCCUACGGGAGGCAGCAGUAGGGAAUCUUCCACAAUGGACGCAAGUCUGAUGGAGCAACGCCGCGUGAGUGAAGAAGGUCUUCGGAUCGUAAAACUCUGUUGUUAGAGAAGAACACGAGUGAGAGUAACUGUUCAUUCGAUGACGGUAUCUAACCAGCAAGUCACGGCUAACUACGUGCCAGCAGCCGCGGUAAUACGUAGGUGGCAAGCGUUGUCCGGAUUUAUUGGGCGUAAAGGGAACGCAGGCGGUCUUUUAAGUCUGAUGUGAAAGCCUUCGGCUUAACCGGAGUAGUGCAUUGGAAACUGGAAGACUUGAGUGCAGAAGAGGAGAGUGGAACUCCAUGUGUAGCGGUGAAAUGCGUAGAUAUAUGGAAGAACACCAGUGGCGAAAGCGGCUCUCUGGUCUGUAACUG